AUCUUAAAGCAUCAAAACAUAGCAAGAACUCAUCCGAUAAACUUGGAGAGUACUGAUCUAAUCCACUGUCCUCACAAGUGUCAAGACUGUUGGAUUCGCACCGGCUGAGGCACAGAAAACAUCUGAAGAAAAUGAAGGCCGUCAUGAUUUUCGGGCUCCUCUUCGCUGUAGUCUACUGCCGUCCUGUAAAACGCUCAGCAAGCAGCUCAGAGAGCUCUGAGGAACAGGCAGUUGCCAAACUGCCACUCCCAGUUCUUGAUAAAGGCCCUGCAGAUCCACUAAAGGCAGCACCUGCACAGGACUUGAAAGCAGCCGUAGUAGCAGCAGCAUCUGACGAGGACACUGACGAUUCAGAUGAAACUGAGGUAAAAGGCCACUCAUCCUCCUGACCACAUGAGUCACCACUGCAUUCACUUAUUUCCUAAUAAAAGCAACCCACUUCCAAAAAUAAGGCUCUUUUUGUCUGGACGCACUGUGGGUGUAUGUGUCAGUAACUCUCACUGUCUUUGACUGUUUCCUUCAUUUCCAGGACAAAAACACAGAAUCAGACACAGAGGGAGACAGUGCAGACAGCGCAGACACGCAAGACACGCAAGACACUGUGAGUCAAGCUUUACCACACAUGCUGUUAUAACACUCUCACACACAGAUGUAACUAAGGAU
Pygocentrus nattereri (red-bellied piranha) is the source of this 663-nucleotide long non-coding RNA. NCBI's taxonomy places the organism in Eukaryota, Metazoa, Chordata, Actinopteri, Characiformes, Serrasalmidae. The record is from Ensembl.